Molecule: long non-coding RNA, 634 nt
Filed under: Piliocolobus tephrosceles (Ugandan red Colobus)
Lineage: Eukaryota; Metazoa; Chordata; Mammalia; Primates; Cercopithecidae
Description: lncRNA (ENSPTEG00000016377.1)
Source: RNAcentral
UUUUUAAAGUUUUAUUAGAAAAUGCCAUUGAAGAAAAAAAAAUUAUAGAUGUUGAUUUUGAUACAUCGAUACUAUUUUGUGAAUUUAUUUUCAGUAAACUAAUAUAUUAUGCAAAUUAUGAAAAUGAUAAUUUCAAUUACUUUUUUAGUUUUAAUUGUUUAAAGAGACAUCUAUGUUCAAUCGUAAGCUCGUUUUUAAAUUUUAACAAUUCAUCUCAUAGAAGAAAAAUUGAAGCAUCCUUUACAAACGAGUUAACAAAUUUAAUGAAUCAGAUAUAUGAAAAAAUAAAAGUUGAAAAUGAUUUAGAACUAAAAGUAUCAUAUACAGAAUUUUUAUGGAGGUCUUUUAGAAGAAUAGACAUAAAUACAUUUAAUUCAAAAAAUUUUGAUGUUGAUAUGAAAACAAUAAAAAGGUUGAAAAAAUUUAAAAUUUUUAAGUUUGACGAAGAAUGUAUAAACUGGCUAAAGGAGGAAAAUUACAUAGACAAAAAACGAUUCAUUGAAAAUGGAUCAUUUAUAAUAGACGCAAACCAAAACAUAGUGAACAGAGAAUUCCUUAUAUGCUAUUUUGGAAAAUGUUCUGUAUUUAUAUACUAUGUAAAGAAAACCUAAUAAUAAAAAAAAAAUUAAAACCA